AUCAUGCCUGCUGUACACAAGAGAGGGCUCACAGGCCCCCUUCCAGAGCAGAGGAGAGGAUCUUCCACUGGCCGGGCAGCCACCAUGCCCACUAUCUGACCUCCAGACUCGGCCACCCAGAAGCAGGAGUCAUGAGAACUCAGCAAAGGUGGAAAUCGAGAGGGAUCAAGGAGCAGCAGCUAGAACAGCACUGCUCCCACAGUGAACCGGGCAGAGGCAGGACAAGGUUGUGGUGACCUUUUGGCAAGGUGUGGCUCUAGUUGGGUCUUUGAUGAGCAUCACUGGCUUCAGGGCACACAUCCUGGAGAUCUGUCCUCCAUGACCAGCCAGCUUUCUUUGCUGAGUCAUUCAUCAGGUCAGCAGAGUAGAGGACAUCCACAGUGAUGCGGGCCUGUCCUUCCUCAGGCCUUGCAGUCUGGCCCUCGGUCUCCAUGCCCAGAGUGGAAGCUUCCAGAAAAAUCCCUUCCAGGAUUGGGACAGAAUCUGUCUGGAAGAGACUGGCUGACCAGGCUUCCCUGCAUCCUGGGAGUUUUGGAUUUUUUUUUUUUUAAGAUACAGCUAUCUAUCUAUCUAUCUAUCUAUCUAUCUA
Psammomys obesus (fat sand rat) is the source of this 589-nucleotide long non-coding RNA. RefSeq lists it as uncharacterized. The record is from RefSeq and is a predicted model, not a curated record. NCBI's taxonomy places the organism in Eukaryota, Metazoa, Chordata, Mammalia, Rodentia, Muridae. The transcript has 4 exons.